UGCUCUGCACAAAAUGAGCACUCAAUAAAUAGCAUUGAUGAUGACGAUGAUUAUGAAUCAUGGACUAUAAAGAUACUAAAGUUCUAUAUUAUGACUCCAAUAUUACCAUAAAACUAAUUAGCAAUGAUUCUAAGUAUCAUUCGCAAUUAGAUGAAAGAUCAUCUUACCAGGUACAGCUAUUACUUGGAAAGUUCAUUUAUAUUUCUGCCAAAUUUCAUAGGCUUAAGCAUUGUUCUUUAAUUUUUUGAGUAAGAAAAAAACAGGAAAUUAAGUGGAAUGUUUAGCAACUUUAGAAAAUUGUAGCACCCUUAAAGUUCAGGCAAUUUAAAUUAAAGUCAGGUAUACCACCUGAUCCUUCUAAGUGUAAAUUGAAAUAUAUGAGGAGGUACAAUAUCAUUUUGACUAUCAGAGAAUGUUUACAGUGUCAUUGUAGGUCAGAUCAAAUUAAGCAAAGUUUGCAGUGCCAGCAAGAAUUUGGUUGUAUUUUUAAUCUUAUUGUGGAGAUACAGUUCAAUUUAACCAUUUUUUUGCACUUCAAUAGACAUUUUUUUCCAUCUCAUUUUCCUGGAUAAAUUUCAGUCAAAUCUCUUCAAAAUCUUUCAGCAGAUAGCCUGGAGCUAUGCUGGUUCUGGAAGUUCUAAUACCUUGAGCAACAAUUUCAGGUUCAAAAACCAUCUUAUAAAUUGUGUGAACAUUUUUUGUUGAAGAAGAAAAAACUCUUUUGAAAAGUAGGAGUAGCUGUGAGCCAAAAUGAGUUGGUUAAGUUACCAGGCAGUUUCCACUGGAAGACCAAUUGAGCCCUCUCAUCAUGGUGGAGAGCUCUUCAGAAUUUGUAGAACCCGAGGAAUUGGUAUCUGAGUUGAGACCAUUCUCCCUAAAUGACUGCCCAGUUCCUGGAGAGACCACGGAAAGGUUGUUGAAAGAAAUGCCUGUCAUAUAUAUCUGUCCUCUAUGUAAAAUGAUCCUGAGGAAUCCAGCCCAGAUGCCAUGUGGUCACAACUACUGCAUGCCCUGCACUUAGUGGAUAUUAAGAAAUAUAUUAGAUCCCGAGUGCUUAUUGUGCAGAGAGAAAAUCGUCACCGAUGAGGCAAUCUUUAACUGUGGCUCUGUAAGUAAACACUUUUUUGCAUCCUCCGGGAUCCAGCGUUGGAUAGUCACCAGAUCUACAGCAAGCAAGAAAACCAAUGCUGUGGGCCCACUGACCAGGAUCUGCCCAGACAGACUCUGCUUUUUCCACCCUGAUGUAACCACUUGUAAGCACAAGAGAAGCAGCAGGGCCUAGUGGUUAGAACAUGGCUCUGGGAGUCAG
This is a long non-coding RNA of Ornithorhynchus anatinus (platypus), 1309 nucleotides long. RefSeq lists it as uncharacterized. Lineage: Eukaryota; Metazoa; Chordata; Mammalia; Monotremata; Ornithorhynchidae. The record is from RefSeq and is a predicted model, not a curated record. The transcript has 3 exons.